GGUAAAAAGUAUAAGUAAAGAUUCCUUGAUUAAUUUAGGGUUAUUUUUAGUUUAGGUUGAGAUGUAUUUUUAUGUCUUGAUUGAUUAUUAGAAAUAAUUUUUAGUUUAUUUAAUUAACGAGUCUUGGUAAUUUUUGAAAACCGGUGUUGAGAUAUAGUUUUUGAUUGGUAUUASUUAAUAGAUUUUASAUUUAUUGAUAUAAGACUUUUUYGGGUUAUAUGUMUCCRGU
This 229-nucleotide unclassified non-coding RNA is filed under the name Piscirickettsia salmonis. RNAcentral describes it as "partial 16S-23S ribosomal RNA intergenic spacer". Lineage: Bacteria; Pseudomonadati; Pseudomonadota; Gammaproteobacteria; Thiotrichales; Piscirickettsiaceae. The record is from RNAcentral.